Helianthus annuus (common sunflower) is the source of this 1300-nucleotide long non-coding RNA. RefSeq lists it as uncharacterized. The transcript has 3 exons. The record is from RefSeq and is a predicted model, not a curated record. Lineage: Eukaryota; Viridiplantae; Streptophyta; Magnoliopsida; Asterales; Asteraceae.
AACACUUAAAAUUUUUAAUGACAUAAAUAGCUUAUAGUAGUCUAUUUCACUAAAUAAACGAUCUAGCAUUAGUUGUCGUAGCUCUUAUAUUAUGUGUGCCAUGUAUUAAUCAGUUUCUUCUAUAGUGUACAUGUGUUUUUCUUGCACUUAAACAAACAGUUCGUCUCAAAUUUGACUAGAAAAAUUUUGCUUCAUCUAUCUAUUAUGCUAAAACAAUUCAACUUUGCCACAUGGCCCUAUUCUUGGCCAAUCAAUUGGGUGAUGUGGACACCACUUUAUAAAUCAACCACCAAGUUAACUCUGGGUGUGGUUUGCCUGCUUUCUAUGAAGGUCUCCACGGAGCAAUCACCCGCACUGUGAGCUUGGUAGUUUGAAUUCGAAUAUUCGAUACUCUUUUGAGUUUCAAAUGCGAUUUUAAAUUUUGUUGAGUUUGCAGGCCGGCCCGCAUGGAAGGAGGACCGAAAUUACUUGCACUGCUUGUGGAGGACACUUAGGCCAUGUGUUUAAAGGUAUGUUCAAAUCAUGAUCUUCUCAUUGUUCAUAUAGCAAUAGAAUCGGAUGAUCAUUAUCAACAACAACACACCGCAAUUUGAGAAAAAAAACCCAAAAGAAAACCUAACAACUAGGAGUUGCAACUGCCUGAGGAGGUGGGACCGGAUACUAUCAUAGGCGUUGGAUGCUUUAAACUUGGCAAAUGGUAAUGGAUGUUGAAAACCACAAUCAUAUGCAAAUGGUAAAGGUAUUUUUACAAUUUUUAAUUUCUUAUUUCUAUGUGACAAGUUGGUUAUCUUUUUAAAAUUAUAUCUACAACAUUCUUUUGCUAAUACCUCCAUUAUUGAAGACCUUGAAUUUGAAGACAAAAUGCCAUUUGAAAAAUCAGGAAAUCCUAUAAUUCAUCAGGUCAAUUUCUUUUUGUCAUUAUUUAUUAUAUAUCUUGAAAUGUUUGGAAUGAUAUCCUACUGAGCCAAAUAUGAUAAAAAUGUGAGAUAUUAUUGUAUGUAACUACUAAGCCAAAUAUGAUUUAAUUUAUGUUUAUGACAUUUUUGGUGGCUUUCAGUUCGUUUGACCCGUAUCAUUUUUAUGUUUUUUUUUACUCUUACCCAUUGGAAAUUUAAGAUAAUCGGGUCGACCCAUUCUGUAAACGUUAACAUAAGCAAUCCAUAACGAUGGUUAGUGAUUAGAUUGGAUUAUUGAAGCUAAUCUAACUCAGCCAAACACAUUCUAUAGUUCAAUUUUAGGUUUAAAGGACUAAUAAUUUCAAAACAUUGUUUAAUUUAAUUAAGUACUUGGUUUAAAAGAA